UACGGAGGGAGCUAGCGUUGUUCGGAUAUACUGGGCGUAAAGCGCACGUAGGCGGCGCCGUAAGUCAGGGGUGAAAUCCCGGAGCUCAACUCCGGAACUGCCCUUGAAACUGCAGUGCUAGAAUCUUGGAGAGGUGAGUGGAAUUCCGAGUGUAGAGGUGAAAUUCGUAGAUAUUCGGAAGAACACCAGUGGCGAAGGCGACUCGCUGGACAAGUAUUGACGCUGAGGUGCGAAAGCGUGGGGAGCAAACAGG
RNAcentral lists this ribosomal RNA (253 nucleotides) under uncultured bacterium. Its description in RNAcentral is "partial 16S ribosomal RNA". It matches the Rfam family "Bacterial small subunit ribosomal RNA", at positions 524 to 776 of the family's 1533-position model. The record is from RNAcentral.